This 344-nucleotide unclassified non-coding RNA is filed under the name soil metagenome. RNAcentral describes it as "partial contains 5.8S ribosomal RNA, internal transcribed spacer 2, and large subunit ribosomal RNA". The stretch from base 1 to 119 matches the Rfam family "5.8S ribosomal RNA", at positions 35 to 154 of the family's 154-position model. The record is from RNAcentral.
GAUGAAGAACGUAGCGAAAUGCGAUACGUAAUGUGAAUUGCAAAUUCAGUGAAUCAUCGAGUCCUUGAACGCACAUUGCGCCCCCUGGUAUUCCGGGGGGCAUGCCUGUCCGAGCGUCAUUGCUGCCCUCAAGCACGGCUUGUGUGUUGGGCCCCGUCCUCCGAUCCCGGGGGACGGGCCCGAAAGGCAGCGGCGGCACCGCGUCCGGUCCUCGAGCGUAUGGGGCUUUGUCACCCGCUCUGUAGGCCCGGCCGGCGCUUGCCGAUCAACCCAAAUUUUUAUCCAGGUUGACCUCGGAUCAGGUAGGGAUACCCGCUGAACUUAAGCAUAUCAAUAAGCGGAGA